AUUGAACGCUGGCGGCAUGCCUUACACAUGCAAGUCGAACGGCAGCGGACCUUCGGGUGCCGGCGAGUGGCGAACGGGUGAGUAAUAUAUCGGAACGUACCUUUCAGUGGGGGAUAACGUAGCGAAAGUUACGCUAAUACCGCAUAUUCUGUGAGCAGGAAAGCAGGGGAUCGCAAGACCUUGCGCUGAUUGAGCGGCCGAUAUCAGAUUAGCUGGUUGGUGAGGUAAAGGCUCACCAAGGCGACGAUCUGUAGCGGGUCUGAGAGGAUGAUCCGCCACACUGGAACUGAGACACGGUCCAGACUCCUACGGGAGGCAGCAGUAGGGAAUUUUGGACAAUGGGCGCAAGCCUGAUCCAGCCAUGCCGCGUGAGUGAAGAAGGCC
This 384-nucleotide ribosomal RNA is filed under the name uncultured bacterium. RNAcentral describes it as "bacterial SSU rRNA". It matches the Rfam family "Bacterial small subunit ribosomal RNA", at positions 30 to 416 of the family's 1533-position model. The record is from RNAcentral.